AUUGAACGCUGGCGGCAGGCUUAACACAUGCAAGUCGAACGAUGAGUCUCUAGCUUGCUAGAGAUGAUUAGUGGCGGACGGGUGAGUAACAUUUAGGAAUCUACCUAGUAGUGGGGGAUAGCUCGGGGAAACUCGAAUUAAUACCGCAUACGACCUACGGGUGAAAGGGGGCGCAAGCUCUUGCUAUUAGAUGAGCCUAAAUCAGAUUAGCUAGUUGGUGGGGUAAAGGCCCACCAAGGCGACGAUCUGUAACUGGCCUGAGAGGAUGAUCAGUCACACCGGAACUGAGACACGUCCCGGACUCCGCGGGGGGGCACCAGGGGGGAAUUUUGGACAAGGGGGCCAACCUGGAUACAGCCAUGCGGGGUGUGGGAAGAGGUCUUUUUGUUUGUAAAGCAUUUAAGGCGGGGGGGAGGGGAUAUUGUUUAACACCUAUUGUAUUGGACGUUACCGGAAAAAUAAGCCCCGGCUAACUUUGUC
Molecule: ribosomal RNA, 480 nt
Filed under: uncultured bacterium
Lineage: Bacteria
Description: partial 16S ribosomal RNA
Rfam family: Bacterial small subunit ribosomal RNA
Source: RNAcentral